Molecule: ribosomal RNA, 422 nt
Filed under: uncultured bacterium
Lineage: Bacteria
Description: bacterial SSU rRNA
Rfam family: Bacterial small subunit ribosomal RNA
Source: RNAcentral
UAAGGAAUAUUGGUCAAUGGACGCAAGUCUGAACCAGCCAUGCCGCGUGGAGGAUGAAGGUCCUCUGGAUUGUAAACUUCUUUUAUCUGGGACGAAACACUUCUUUUCUAAGAGGCCUGACGGUACCAGAUGAAUAAGCACCGGCUAACUCCGUGCCAGCAGCCGCGGUCAUACGGAGGGUGCAAGCGUUAUCCGGAUUCACUGGGUUUAAAGGGUGCGUAGGUGGGUAUGUAAGUCAGUGGUGAAAUCCCCGAGCUUAACUUGGGAACUGCCAUUGAUACUAUAUAUCUUGAAUACCGUAGAGGUAAGCGGAAUAUGGCAUGUAGCGGUGAAAUGCUUAGAUAUGACAUGGAACACCAAUUGCGAAGGCAGCUUACUAUGCGGUGAUUGACACUGAGGCACGAAGGCGUGGGUAGCAAACA